This 468-nucleotide ribosomal RNA is filed under the name uncultured bacterium. RNAcentral's name for it is "partial 16S ribosomal RNA". It matches the Rfam family "Bacterial small subunit ribosomal RNA", at positions 28 to 507 of the family's 1533-position model. The record is from RNAcentral.
GACGAACGCUGGCGGCGUGCUUAACACAUGCAAGUCGAACGGACAGGCCCUGCUUUUGUGGGGUGCUCGAUUGGCGAACGGGUGUGUAACACGUGAGUAACCUGCCCUUGACUUUGGGAUAACUUCAGGAAACUGGGGCUAUUACCGGAUAUGAGCUCCUGCUGCAUGGUGUGGGUUGGAGAGUGUCGGCGGUGGGGGCUGGACUCGCGGCUUAUGAGCUUGUUGGUGUGGUAGUGGCAUACCAAGGGUUUGACGGGUAGCCCGCCUGGGAGGGUGACCGGGGACAAGGGGACUAAGAGACGGACCAGACUGCUACGGGCGGCAGCAGUGGGGAAUAUUGCGGAAUGGGCGGACGUCUGAUACAACAACGCCGCGUGCGGAAUGACCGCUUUCGAGUUGUAAACCGAUUUCGCCUGUGACGAAGCGUGAGUGACGGUAAUGGGUAAAGAAGCACCGGCUAACUACGUG